This 119-nucleotide ribosomal RNA is filed under the name Pteropus alecto (black flying fox). Lineage: Eukaryota; Metazoa; Chordata; Mammalia; Chiroptera; Pteropodidae. RNAcentral also lists the same sequence under 1 other name. The record is from RNAcentral.
GUCUACGGCCAUGCCAUCCUGAACAAGCCUGAUCCUGUCUGAUCUCGGAAGCCAAGCAGGGUCGGGCCUGGUUAGUACUUGGAUAGGAGACCACCUAGGAAGACCAGGUGCUGUAGGCG